AUCCUUCGGUUCAUGAGCAUGAUGAUUGGUUAGUUCACGGACACUCUGUGAAAGGUGCGGCCUGAACUUGUUACGCUCUGCGCCUGAAACCGUCUGACC
Acanthochromis polyacanthus (spiny chromis) is the source of this 99-nucleotide small nucleolar RNA. RefSeq annotates it as small nucleolar RNA U13. The record is from RefSeq and is a predicted model, not a curated record. The transcript has a single exon. NCBI's taxonomy places the organism in Eukaryota, Metazoa, Chordata, Actinopteri, Pomacentridae.